This 467-nucleotide ribosomal RNA is filed under the name uncultured bacterium. Its description in RNAcentral is "partial 16S ribosomal RNA". It matches the Rfam family "Bacterial small subunit ribosomal RNA", at positions 28 to 507 of the family's 1533-position model. The record is from RNAcentral.
GACGAACGCUGGCGGCGUGCUUAACACAUGCAAGUCGAACGGAAAGGCCUCUUUCGGGGGGUACUCGCGUGGCGAACGGGCGAGUAACACGCGAGUAACCUGCCCUUGUCUUUGGGAUAACUUCAGGAAACUGGGGCGAACACAGGACAGGAGCUCCUGCUGACUGGUGGGGGUUGGAAAGUUUCGGGGGUUGGGGGUGGACUAGCGGCUUAUCAGCUUGUCGGUGGGGUAAUGGCUUACCAAGGCUUUGCCGGGUAGCCGGACUGAGGGGGUGACCGGCCACCUUGGGACUGAGGUACGGCCCAAACUGCUACGGGAGGCAGCAGUGGGGAAUAUUGCACAAUGGGUGGAAGCCUGAUGCAGCAGCGCCGUGUGCGGGAUGACGGUCUUCGGGUUGUAAAACGCUUUCGCUCAUGACGAAGCUUUGUGUGACGGUAGUGGGUAAAGAAGCACCGGCUAACUACGUG